GAGGGUGUAGCUCAAGUGGUAGAGCGCAUGCUUAGCAUGCACAAAGUCCUGGGUUCAGUCCCCAGUACCUCCA
This 73-nucleotide transfer RNA is filed under the name Camelus bactrianus (Bactrian camel). It matches the Rfam family "tRNA". From Rfam's summary of the family: Transfer RNA (tRNA) molecules are approximately 80 nucleotides in length. Their secondary structure includes four short double-helical elements and three loops (D, anti-codon, and T loops). Lineage: Eukaryota; Metazoa; Chordata; Mammalia; Artiodactyla; Camelidae. RNAcentral also lists the same sequence under 2 other names. The record is from Rfam by way of RNAcentral.